Homo sapiens (human) is the source of this 2243-nucleotide long non-coding RNA. Lineage: Eukaryota; Metazoa; Chordata; Mammalia; Primates; Hominidae. The record is from Ensembl.
UGGCCAAACAACGCGGAUUGCAGUUCAUUUCAAAGAGAAUGAUGGCUCAGAAUGCCCCAGGUGAGAGGAUGAGAUGAGUUUGUGAUUUAAAAAUGCUGUGACUCUAAAAAGAAAAUUUUUAAAGUUAAAAGCACCAUGCUAGUUUCCUCCCUGCUCCCAGAUCAUUAGAGUGUCACAUAAUUUGAAGCCCUGCUACAUGAUGAUCCUGCUGUCUUCAUCCUCCUACCCACAACCCAAGUUUUGCUACUGUUCCUGAUUCAUUUCAUUGUGAUAAGAAAAGCUGCUUGGUUUUGGUAUCAGGAUGAUGCUGGCAUCAUAAAAUGAGUAUUUUUCUUCAGACUUCAGACUGCUGUGCUGGAAGCAAGAAUUUCAAGCAUUGGAUCUUAGCUUGCUGGGCUCCAUAGGGGUGGGAUCCACUGAGCUAGACCACUUGGCUCCCUGGCUUCAGCCCCCUUCCAGAUGUCCUUGGCGUGUACACCCUGUGGAAUCUGGUUCAUCUUCAAUCUGUCAGAAGGCAUCAGAGGUGGUUUUGACUCCUUAUGUCUUGGACCUGUGCACAAAAAGUACGGGCAGGAGAGGAUGCAGGAGACUGUACAAAGUUCAAGAAACGAUAUGCUUUAAUCAAGGUAAAAUGGAUGGAACAUCAGACAGCUCAUUAUAGAGACAAGUAAGCUCCAGUUCCAAAGUUGGUUGACAGAACAAGUCAUGACCUUGUGUGGAGGAAAAUGAGAUCCCGAGUGAAGUCUACAAUGUCAUUGACUCUGAAGAAGGACUCAGAGACCCAUUGGUGUUUAAUGACCCUUACUGGCCUAUGCAAUGGAAACUGGUAAUGAAAACAUCCCCAUGACCAGAAAUCCUCAGGAAUAAUUCCUCUUGACUGCAGCCAAUGGGAACUCUAUAGAUUGGUUUGCUGCUCUCUUUCCUGAUAAAGAGAAGACUUUGAGAUGUGCAUGUUUAUGUUGGUAAAUAAAUUCUGGCAUGAAAUGAGAAUUCAGGAAUCAAGCCUAAGGCAUCAAAAACAGUAAUAAAGUGAAUUUGUAGCCAUAUUGUCUUUGGUGCUUCCAGGACAAAGUCUGCAUAUUUAAGGCUAAUGGUGCAGAUUUCUGAGUUUUAUGAAAUAUGUCAUCAUGUGAUGGUUUUGGUAUCAGGAUGAUGCUGGCAUCGAAAAAUGAGUUAGGGAGGAGUCCAUCCUUUUGAAUUGUUUGAAAUAGUUUCAGAAGAAAUGGUACCAACUCCUCUUUUACCUCUGGUAGAAUUCAUCUGUAAAUCCAUCUAGUCCUGGGCAUUUUUUGGUUGAUCUUGAGUGUGCCUUAAAAUUCCAUUUCAUGGAGAACUGUGCGUGGUUGAAUUUUGAUUGAUUACUCAAUUAACUGAUGUAUUGGUAGAGUGAUUAAGAAAGAAGACUUUGGGAUCAGACCAACCUGGUUUUGAAUUCAAGCUCAGCAACUUACUAGGUAAGGAGGAGAAAAGAAAGAAGGAAAAAUUGGAAAGAUAAAUGGGGUCUUUCCAGUGAAGCCUCCAGGCCUCCAGACUGGAACUUAUACCACUGAUUCUUCUGAAUCUUAGGCCUUUGGACUUGGACUGGAACUAAACCAUCAGCUCUUCUUGUUCUACCACUUGCAGACUGUAUGUCUUGGGACAUGUCAGCCUCUGUAAUCACGCUCAAUUUUCCUACAUAAUUAAGAGUUUGGAAUUCGGGCAAUAUCAAGAACCACAUCUGUCCUGAAAUCAAUUAUCUCUGUUUGGAAUAUGGAUAUGAGAGAUCACUUUGCUGUGCUGUAAAUGAUCGAUUAAAAUACAUAUUUCUCUCCUGACCCUCUGGGCCUGCCUUUCCAUGCAGUACCCUUGUUCUCUGAGAGUGAGGAGGUCUGUGUUUUGAGCCUUCCUACAAUACAGAAUCUGAGGAGGGUGGCUCUGUUAUUCUGAUGGAAUGAAUGCUCAGUGAGAUCAAAAUCAAGUCAUUGAGGAUGCCAGGAGAGUCUGGGGCAUCCUCAGGUACCCUGCAGGGUUUGUGGGGAGGCUGCUGGACUUACAGAUUGUUGUGGAUUUCAUCCUGGAUGGUUUACUGAGCUCUUUGGGGUUCCUGAGGUGAAAAUUACAGCAAUUUUAAGAGUCUGACACACUUUCCAGCUGAUAGCACUAAAAACAUGACUUGUAGCCUCCUCUCUUUUUCCUGUUUGCUUCUCUGAAUGAAGAUGGCAGAACUAAUCUGUAUGAACUAUUAUCUGUUAUGUGAAUUUUUA